GAACGGGUGAGUAACACGUGGGUAAUCUGCCCUCGAUACUGGGAUAGCCCGGGGAAACCCGGAUUAAUACCGGAUAGCCUCUCGAGCUCUCGGGCUCGUGAGAAAAGGUAGCUUCGGCCUCCGAUCGAGGAUGAGCCCGCGGCGGAUUAGCUUGUUGGUGGGGUAAUGGCCUACCAAGGCGACGAUCCGUAGCUGGUCUGAGAGGACGAUCAGCCACACUGGGACUGAGACACGGCCCAGACUCCUACGGGAGGCAGCAGUGGGGAAUCUUGCCCAAUGGGCGAAAGCCUGAGGCAGCGACGCCGCGUGAGGGAAGAAGGCCCUAGGGUUGUAAACCUCUUUCAGCAGGGACGAAGCCACUCGGGUGAAUAGCCCAGAGGGUGACGGUACCUGCAGAAGAAGCCCCGGCUAACUACGUGCCAGCAGCCGCGG
Molecule: ribosomal RNA, 432 nt
Filed under: uncultured bacterium
Lineage: Bacteria
Description: bacterial SSU rRNA
Rfam family: Bacterial small subunit ribosomal RNA
Source: RNAcentral